GUUCUCAUAGUUCAAUGGAUAGAACAAUCCCCUCCUAAGGGAUAGAUACAGGUUCAAUUCCUGUUGGGAACACCA
Molecule: transfer RNA, 75 nt
Filed under: Candidatus Gracilibacteria bacterium HOT-871
Lineage: Bacteria; Candidatus Altimarinota
Also listed under: 1 other name
Description: tRNA-Arg
Rfam family: tRNA
About the family: Transfer RNA (tRNA) molecules are approximately 80 nucleotides in length.
Source: RNAcentral